UAAUAAGUGUUUUACUGCACUUUUUAAAAAUCAGUAUUCACCUUGUGUGCAAUGUUUGCUGACGAGUUUGCGUUUUACGCGUUCUUGGCAGCACAAUACCAACCCUUUAUUGAAAUUUUUUGUCUGAAAUUUUUUGAAUACAUAAUUCGAAAUA
RNAcentral lists this unclassified non-coding RNA (154 nucleotides) under uncultured Mortierella. RNAcentral's name for it is "sequence contains ITS1". The record is from RNAcentral. Lineage: Eukaryota; Fungi; Mortierellomycota; Mortierellomycetes; Mortierellales; Mortierellaceae.